GAAAUGCGAUAAGUAGUGUGAAUUGCAGAAUUUAGCGAAUCAUCGAAUCUUUGAACGCACAUUGCGCCCUCUGGCAUUCCGGGGGGCAUGCCUGUCCGAGCGUCAUUACGCACCCUCAAGCCCGGCUUGUGUGAUGGGCCCCGGCGUCUCGUUCGCGAGACGGGCCCGAAAGGCAGCGGCGGCGUCGACCCGAUGAGCCCGAGCGUAUGGGGACUUCUGUCACACGUUCGCGGUGCGGACCGGCGCCUGCUUGACUUUUCUGAUUAUCCAGGUUGACCUCGGAUCAGGUAGGGAUACCCGCUGAACUUAAGC
This 312-nucleotide unclassified non-coding RNA is filed under the name plant metagenome. Its description in RNAcentral is "partial contains 5.8S ribosomal RNA, internal transcribed spacer 2, and large subunit ribosomal RNA". The stretch from base 1 to 105 matches the Rfam family "5.8S ribosomal RNA", at positions 50 to 154 of the family's 154-position model. The record is from RNAcentral.